RNAcentral lists this ribosomal RNA (483 nucleotides) under uncultured bacterium. RNAcentral's name for it is "bacterial SSU rRNA". It matches the Rfam family "Bacterial small subunit ribosomal RNA", at positions 28 to 507 of the family's 1533-position model. The record is from RNAcentral.
GAUGAACGCUGGCGGCGUGCCUAACACAUGCAAGUCGAACGAAGCGCUUCCGCCUGAUUUUCUUCGGAGAUGAAGGCGGCUGCGACUGAGUGGCGGACGGGUGAGUAACGCGUGGGCAACCUGCCUUGCACUGGGGGAUAACAGCCAGAAAUGGCUGCUAAUACCGCAUAAGACCGAAGCGCCGCAUGGCGCUGCGGCCAAAGCCCCGGCGGUGCAAGAUGGGCCCGCGUCUGAUUAGGUAGUUGGCGGGGUAACGGCCCACCAAGCCGACGAUCAGUAGCCGACCUGAGAGGGUGACCGGCCACAUUGGGACUGAGACACGGCCCAGACUCCUACGGGAGGCAGCAGUGGGGAAUAUUGCACAAUGGGGGAAACCCUGAUGCAGCGACGCCGCGUGAAGGAUGAAGUAUUUCGGUAUGUAAACUUCUAUCAGCAGGGAAGAAGAUGACGGUACCUGACUAAGAAGCCCCGGCUAACUACGUG